UACGGGGGGGGCAAGCGUUGUUCGGAAUUACUGGGCGUAAAGGGCUUGUAGGCGGCCAACUAAGUCGGAUGUGAAAUCCCCAGGCUUAACCUGGGAACUGCAUCCGAUACUGGAUGGCUUGAAUCCGGGAGAGGGAUGCAGAAUUCCAGGUGUAGCGGUGAAAUGCGUAGAUAUCUGGAGGAAUACCGGUGGCGAAGGCGGCAUCCUGGACCGGCAUUGACGCUGAUGAGCGAAAGCUAGGGGAGCAAACGGG
RNAcentral lists this ribosomal RNA (253 nucleotides) under uncultured bacterium. RNAcentral describes it as "partial 16S ribosomal RNA". It matches the Rfam family "Bacterial small subunit ribosomal RNA", at positions 524 to 776 of the family's 1533-position model. The record is from RNAcentral.